This 248-nucleotide unclassified non-coding RNA is filed under the name root metagenome. RNAcentral's name for it is "partial contains small subunit ribosomal RNA, internal transcribed spacer 1, and 5.8S ribosomal RNA". The record is from RNAcentral.
UUUCCGUAGGUGAACCUGCGGAAGGAUCAUUACCUGGCCUUGGGCCGCUCGGGGGAGCCAGUCGCUCGCGACGACGCUGCCUUGGGCGCUUAGCCCUUGACUAUCACCUUGACUACGUGCACCUUUUGUUGUUUCCUCGGCAGGUCCUCUGCCGCCAGGAACCCCCCAAACCCCUUUGCAACAGCAUCCAAACUUCUGAAAACAAACCAAAUCAUUUACAACUUUUAACAAUGGAUCUCUUGGUUCUG